GACUUUUGGCAAUGGAUAUCUUAGCUCUCGCAUCGAUGAAGAACGUAGCGAAAUGCGAUACAUGGUGUAAAUUGCAGAAUCUCAUGAGCCAUCGACUCUUUGAACGCAAGUUACGCCUGAAGCUAUUAAGUCGAGGGCACGUCUACAUGGCUAUCA
This is a ribosomal RNA of Capsicum annuum, 156 nucleotides long. RefSeq annotates it as 5.8S ribosomal RNA. NCBI's taxonomy places the organism in Eukaryota, Viridiplantae, Streptophyta, Magnoliopsida, Solanales, Solanaceae. The transcript has a single exon. The record is from RefSeq and is a predicted model, not a curated record.